RNAcentral lists this ribosomal RNA (303 nucleotides) under Triticum aestivum (bread wheat). RNAcentral describes it as "partial small subunit ribosomal RNA". The record is from RNAcentral. Lineage: Eukaryota; Viridiplantae; Streptophyta; Magnoliopsida; Poales; Poaceae.
AUGCCUUGGCACGCUCGGCUCCACCGGUGUUGCAAGCCCAGUUCAUUUCGGAAUCAUCAAGCUUCCCGUGUACAUCUACCACCCAAGCCAUGUCAACGAGCCGAUGAGAUACUCAACAUUAUCUACUUCAGCUACUUCCUUCGUAACUACAAGAUACUUAAGAUGGAGGCCUGCUCGUCGAUGCUCCACUGGUUUACUGCAGUUUCAGGGCUUAGGGAGCGCCUCCUUGUUGACAACCUCUUCCUUGCCAAGCUCGUUGUGGAGUGCGUCGUCGAGCCAUCAGCAAUGUCUGUUUUAUUUUGA